RNAcentral lists this transfer RNA (74 nucleotides) under Pelodiscus sinensis (Chinese soft-shelled turtle). It matches the Rfam family "tRNA". Rfam says of the family: Transfer RNA (tRNA) molecules are approximately 80 nucleotides in length. The record is from Rfam by way of RNAcentral. Lineage: Eukaryota; Metazoa; Chordata; Testudines; Trionychidae.
GGCCAGCUAGCUCAGUUGGCUAGAAUGUGGUGCUAAUAAUGCCAAAGUCAUGGGUUCAAGCUCUGUGCUGGCCA